This 465-nucleotide ribosomal RNA is filed under the name Vreelandella stevensii. RNAcentral describes it as "partial 16S ribosomal RNA". It matches the Rfam family "Bacterial small subunit ribosomal RNA", at positions 338 to 795 of the family's 1533-position model. Lineage: Bacteria; Pseudomonadati; Pseudomonadota; Gammaproteobacteria; Oceanospirillales; Halomonadaceae. The record is from RNAcentral.
CCUACAGGUGGCAGCAGUGGGGAAUAUUGGACAAUGGGCGAAAGCCUGAUCCAGCCAUGCCGCGUGUGUGAAGAAGGCCUUCGGGUUGUAAAGCACUUUCAGUGGGGAAGAAAGCCUUGGGGCUAAUACCCUCGAGGAAGGACAUCACCCACAGAAGAAGCACCGGCUAACUCCGUGCCAGCAGCCGCGGUAAUACGGAGGGUGCGAGCGUUAAUCGGAAUUACUGGGCGUAAAGCGCGCGUAGGCGGUCUGAUAAGCCGGUUGUGAAAGCCCCGGGCUCAACCUGGGAACGGCAUCCGGAACUGUCAGGCUAGAGUGCAGGAGAGGAAGGUAGAAUUCCCGGUGUAGCGGUGAAAUGCGUAGAGAUCGGGAGGAAUACCAGUGGCGAAGGCGGCCUUCUGGACUGACACUGACGCUGAGGUGCGAAAGCGUGGGUAGCAAACAGGAUUAGAUACCCUAGUAGUC